UGGUCCAGUCGUUAGGACUCUGCGCUUCCAAUGCAGGGGCCACAGGUUCAGUUCCUGA
This 58-nucleotide transfer RNA is filed under the name Bos taurus (domestic cattle). The record is from Rfam by way of RNAcentral. Lineage: Eukaryota; Metazoa; Chordata; Mammalia; Artiodactyla; Bovidae. RNAcentral also lists the same sequence under 2 other names.